RNAcentral lists this ribosomal RNA (492 nucleotides) under uncultured bacterium. RNAcentral describes it as "partial 16S ribosomal RNA". It matches the Rfam family "Bacterial small subunit ribosomal RNA", at positions 29 to 507 of the family's 1533-position model. The record is from RNAcentral.
AGUGAACGCUGGCGGUAUGCCUAAUACAUGCAAGUCGAACGGCCGGACAGUAAGAUUGUUCUUUUACCGUUGGCGAGUGGCGGGCGGGUAAGGCAUACGUCAGAUACUUCUUUUACUGGGAUGAUUACGGAGGAAAACGGAUACUAACACCUCAUAUUUCGAACGGCAUAAUUCUAAAGUGCUACAUAGUUUUGCUGUCACAUUUAGACGGUGUCGGAUUAGCUAGUUGGCUUGGUAAAGGCUCACCAAGGCAACGAUCCGUAGCUGAUCUGAGAGGAUGAUCAGCCACACUGGAACUGAGACACGGUCCAGACUCCUACGGGAGGCAGCAGUAGGGAAUCUUGCACAAUGGGCGAAAGCCUGAUGCAGCAACGCCGCGUGAGUGAAGAAGGUCUUCGGAUCGUAAAGCUCUUUUAUUGGGAAAGAAAAAAAGCAUAUUAAUCUCUGGACGUUUUGACGGUACCUAAAGAGAAAGCCCCGGCUAACUUCGUG